AGAGUUUCAUCCUGGCUCAGGAUGAACGCUGGCGGCGUGCCUAACACCUGCAAGUCGAACGGAGCCUUCGCAAGAGGGUUCAGUGGCGCACGGGUGAGGAACACGUAGCUGACCUGCCCUCCAGCGGGGGAUAACGUCCCGAAAGGGAUGCUAAGACCGCAUAAGCUCACGGGUUUUAGAGACCUGGGAGAAAAACCUUCGGGUACUGGAGGAGGGGGCUGCGGCCCAUCAGGUAGUUGGGGGGGUAACGGCCCACCAAGCCAACGACGGGUCGGGGAUCUGAGAGGAUGAUCCCCCACACUGGGACUGAGACACGGCCCAGACUCCUACGGGAGGCAGCAGUGAGGGAUAUUGCACAAUGGGCGAAAGCCUGAUGCAGCGACGCCGCGUGGGUGAUGAAGGUCUUCGGAUCGUAAAGCCCUUUUCUGUGUGACGAGAACGGACGGUAGCACAGGAAGAAGUCUCGGCUAACUACGUGCCAGCAGCCGCGGUAAAACGUAGGAGGCAAGCGUUAUCCGGAGUUACUGGGCGUAAAGCGUGUGUAGGUGGUUAUCCAAGUUCGGUGUGAAAGCCCCCGGCUUAACUGGGGGAGGACAUUGAAGACUGGAUGGCUAGAGGGUGGUAGAGGGGCGUAGAAUUCCGGGUGUAGCGGUGAAAUGUGUAGAGAUCCGGAGGAAUACCAGUGGUGCAGACGGCGCCCUGGGCCAUACCUGACACUGAGACACGAAAGCGUGGGGAGCGAACGGGAUUAGAGACCCCGGUAGUCCACGCCGUAAACGAUGCGAACUAGGUGCGCACGGUCCGCAAGGGCAGGGCGUGCCGCAGCUAACGCGCUAAGUUCGCCGCCUGGGGAGUACGGUCGCAAGGCUAAAACUCAAAGGAAUUGACGG
Molecule: ribosomal RNA, 890 nt
Filed under: uncultured bacterium
Lineage: Bacteria
Description: bacterial SSU rRNA
Rfam family: Bacterial small subunit ribosomal RNA
Source: RNAcentral